Molecule: long non-coding RNA, 1273 nt
Organism: Daphnia magna
Lineage: Eukaryota; Metazoa; Arthropoda; Branchiopoda; Diplostraca; Daphniidae
Exons: 2
Source: RefSeq, a predicted model, not a curated record
ACGGCGCAAGUAUCAUGUGACACUUUCGUUGCUCAGCUGUGUGUCGUGAGUGAUGAAAAAGUGAAAGUUUAUGUAAUACUCUCAUCCAGCAGCCGUGUGUCUCGUCUGACGAAGUGAAAUUCUUUUCUCUAUUUUCUAUUAACUUGUCUAAACAGAUAUGGACAUCUUAAACUAUUGUGUGCUAGUUCACAGAAAGCUAACGGUGCGGAAUGUUGUCUCGAUUUUUGUGAUGUCAAUUAAUACACACGUCAUCCAAUAUGUAUAGAACAUCGGUUGUUGCUGGAUACCAAUCAGCCAUGUUUCCUUUGGGCAGUAACAGAAACUUUAAUUAAAGAACAUUUUCUACGUCAAUCCUAGAACUCCAUCAAACGUCAGAAAUCAGAAAGGAGUUCAAAUGACGCCCUAAAACAUUUCCAAAUUCAAAUUGCCUAUACGUGGGACAUGACGAAAAUUAUAAUUCGACAGUAUAUGUAGUUAUCUCUUGACAUACCUUUGUUGUCUCGUGUUAUCAAUACAAAUUGUCGGGUUUUUUCGCAUCAGAGGGUAGCGGAUUUCAAACGGGGGCAGUGUCACGCUGAAUAUACAUGUGGUAUUCAUCACGCCGUGCGGUUGCGGACUUUGCUCGGUCAACCAGGAAAACAAGGCAAUGUUGUUUCGACAAAAGUAAGGCAAGUUGGCUGCUUUCUAAUAUUUCCUUUUAUCGUAUAUAGAGACAUAAGUUAACACGGAUCUCACAAGCUGGCCUACAAAUCGUUGGUUAGGAAUUCAUUUCCACGAUGUCUUCAAUUAACCCCAUAGUUCGUGAUAUCGCCGCAUCUAACCCCGUUGUGUGAAUCAAGAGGAUUUCUCUUGAUUACAGUGAAAGUGAAGCAUCCAUAUUUUAAUGGGAAAACACCUGAGUACUCUGCAUGCUAUCGACAUCUCACGCUAGAAAAAAAAAGCCAACUUUCUAAUUUCUGAUUGUUGUACGUGUAUACAGUAUAUCUUUAUUGCCUAGUGUUUACGUAAUCUUAGAUUUCUCGUGGGAAAAAACUCCGUGAGUCAAAUACAAGAGGCUCAGCCCUGUUGAUGAUCGGCCGAUUCUUCUUAAGAUAAGACCACGUACUUUGUUGCGAAAGAAAUAAAACACCAUUCGUAUUAUUAUUAUGAUUUAUUUACACCUUGUACGAAAUCACGGCGGUAGCCAAUAUUCAAAUAGAGGUUGCAACCAAGACUUCUUAAAGUGAAUUGGGAAUGAAAUAUGAGUCAAAGAGGUAAUAAAACUUUUGAAUAA